RNAcentral lists this long non-coding RNA (1467 nucleotides) under Ovis aries (sheep). Its description in RNAcentral is "lncRNA (ENSOARG00000025482.1)". The record is from RNAcentral. Lineage: Eukaryota; Metazoa; Chordata; Mammalia; Artiodactyla; Bovidae.
AUGGUAGAGCAGCAGGGCAGGGAGGUGGUAAGGCUGGGGGAGUGGCGAGGUGGGGACGUUGGCAAGCGGCCCAAGGAGCCUGGAGGGCAGGGCGUCCUCAGGGCAGUGGGGGCCCGGCAGGGCCCCCGGGAAGGGGUGGUGGAGCCUGUCAGUGUUCGCACCUCGAGAGCUUCAGGUGUCGCCAGGGGAGCAGCUGGAGGGGCGGGAAGCGGCGGGCAGGAGGGGCCAGUCCGAGCAGUGAGGGCACGAGGGCACCUGGGCGGCCGGCGCUGCGGGCCGCGGGGCGGUGCCUCCCGAGGACGAGGAGCCCAGCCAGCACCCCCAGGCCUUAGAGGAAUCCAGGCCACGCGGGCAAGUCGUGUAACUUCUCUGGGACUCGGUUUCCCCGCUUGUGAAGUGGGUACAAGAAUGUCUAAUCUGGCAGGCUGCGGUACUGGAUGUUGGAGCGGGCGCCCGGGGCCAGGAACCCGGGCUCUGCGCUGUUGGACACGUCCAGGCUUGUCUUGCGUCCGUUCACCGGCUUCACAGGGAUGCCUGAGGACUUCUGGGCCUUGCCGAGCGUGGCCGAGCCCCCGGUCUGCACGACGGUAGCCGUGCCCGUGGCAGGAGGGGGCUUCUUGUAGCCGAAGGACCCUGACGUGGACGGGCGUGCGAUGCCCGAGGGAGGCUUCUUGGCAUCGCCCAGGCGGUCACGGCCGGCAUCCGAGGAGGAGCGCUGCAGGCCUGCGCUCUUCACAGCCAGCUUGGCCUUGUCGGAGGCCUUGCCCUCGGGUUUGCCUGUGGAGGGCGGGCGCUAUGAGCAGGGGAGAGCCAGCGUCUGCCCCCCAGGAGGAGGGGCACCGUGGGGUGGAGCGCCUAACUAGGGGCGAUUGGGGACCCAUGGGCCUAGAACCCUUCUGGGCAGGCCUUGCGUCCAGCUGUUCAAUUUCUCUUGUGUUUUGGUGUUUUCUGCUCCCAGGCUAGGAGGUCCCAGCUUGGCUGAAAUCACAAGAUGAUCAGGAAGGGCACACAUCUAACAGCCGGCCACCAAGGGCCCGCCCCAGGAGCAGCAGCACUCUGAUGCCGCCAGUGUCUCCCGGGACGCCACACGGGCCCCCAGGAGGUGUGAGGACAUCGCCCGAGAGCCCAGGCGAGGAAAGGAAUCACUGGGCAGUGUGGGAGGUGGGUCAGACCAGGUUCCCUCCUGCCCUGCGUCUGGGCUCAGCCUUCUAUGCAGGUGGAGCCCUAUGCCCGCAUCUGUCUGCCUUCCCUGACUCAGGACGGUCUGGAGACCUGCUGGGUGGCGUGCGGAAGCUGCGCGCAGGCUGCCCCCCGCCCAGGGGUUAAGGGCCAGAGGACCGGAGCCACCAGGGGAGCAGGCCGCGGCCCUGGGCCCUGUGCCUGGGCUCACCUGCGACCUUGAGGGCACUCUGGGCCGUGUGGGUGAUGGGCGAGGCGAUGGGCCCCCGGGGGGGGGCCCCCCCCCCU